CGGAUUAAGGAAACCGGCGCACGGGUGCGUAACGCGUAUGCAACUUGCCCUUAUCAGGAGGAUAGCCCGGGGAAACUCGGAUUAAUACUCCAUAAGAUUUUGAUUGGCAUCGAUUAAAAUUGAAAGAUUUAUUGGAUAAGGAUAGGCAUGCGUCAGAUUAGUUAGUUGGUAGUGUAACGGACUACCAAGGCGAUGAUCUGUAGGGGGCCUGAGAGGGUGAACCCCCACACUGGUACUGAGACACGGACCAGACUCCUACGGGAGGCAGCAGUGAGGAAUAUUGGACAAUGGAGGGAACUCUGAUCCAGCCAUCCCGCGUGCAGGAAGACGGCCCUAUGGGUUGUAAACUGCUUUUGUAUGGGGAUAAAUCUACCUACGUGUAGGUAGUUGAAGGUACCAUACGAAUAAGCAUCGGCUAACUCCGUGCCAGCAGCCGCGGUAAUACGGAGGAUGCAAGCGUUAUCCGGAUUCAUUGGGUUUAAAGGGUCCGUAGGCGGGCUGAUAAGUCAGUGGUGAAAUUUUGUCGCUCAACGAUAAAACUGCCAUUGAUACUGUUAGUCUUGAGUGAUAUUGAAGUAGCUGGAAUGUGUAGUGUAGCGGUGAAAUGCAUAGAUAUUACACAGAACACCGAUUGCGAAGGCAGGUUACUAAGUAUUAACUGACGCUGAAGGACGAAAGCGUGGGGAGCGAACAGGAUUAGAUACCCUGGUAGUCCACGCAGUAAACGAUGCUAACUCGUUUUCGGG
This 746-nucleotide ribosomal RNA is filed under the name Ornithobacterium rhinotracheale. RNAcentral describes it as "bacterial SSU rRNA". It matches the Rfam family "Bacterial small subunit ribosomal RNA", at positions 82 to 827 of the family's 1533-position model. The record is from RNAcentral. Lineage: Bacteria; Pseudomonadati; Bacteroidota; Flavobacteriia; Flavobacteriales; Weeksellaceae.